CGCGCUGCGCUGCGCUCCCCUCCUGCCGGCUGAGGGGCCGCCUCCGCCAUGGUGCUGGAGUCGGUGGUGGCGGAUCUGCUGAACCGCUUCCUGGGUGACUAUGUGGAGAACCUGAACAAGUCCCAGCUCAAGCUGGGUAUAUGGGGCGGUAAUGUGGCACUUGACAAUUUACAGAUCAAGGAGAAUGCAUUAAGUGAACUGGAUGUACCCUUUAGAGUAAAAGUUGGUCAGAUAGAUAAACUUACUCUGAAGAUUCCUUGGAAGAAUCUCUAUGGAGAGGCAGUCGUUGCAACUCUAGAAGGCUUGUAUCUUCUGAUAGUCCCUGGAGCAAGUGUUAAAUAUGAUGCAGAGAAGGAAGAAAAAUACUUGCAGGAUAAUAAACAAAAGGAACUGGCAAGAAUUGAAGAAGCCUUGCAGAAAGCAGCAGAAAAAGGCACUCACUCAGGAGAGUCCCUGUAUGGGUUGGAGAGUCUGGUUUACAAGGACACCAAGCCUGGACGUAAGCGUAAAAGGUACAAAAAGCAUUUUAAGAGACCCUUUAAAGGUCAUGACCACUCAAAAGACAAACCAAAGGAGGAGAAGAAGGAUACUUUCUUAGAAAAGCUUGCAACUCAAGUCAUAAAAAAUGUGCAAGUCAAAAUCACGGGCAUUCAUGUUAAAUAUGAAGAUGAUAUCACGGACCCGCAGUGUCCGAUUUCCCUGGGGAUGACGUUGGGCGAGCUUAGUUUGCUGACAACAAAUGAGAACUGGAAACCUUCCAUUCUGAAUGAAGCUGCAAAAAUAAUAUACAAGCUUUUGUGCCUGGACAGCCUCAGUGCUUACUGGAACGUGCACAGCCCAAUGUACUACCAUGGCUCCCGGGAGCAGAUCCUGGACCAGCUGAAAAGAGGAAUUCCAUGUGGUGGUAACCAGCCAGAAGAUUACCAGUACAUUUUUAGACCAGUGUCAGCCUCUGCAAGACUGUAUAUCAACCCCUAUGCAGAAUUAGAACUGAAAACUCCCAAGAUUGAUUGUAAUGUGGAAGUACAGAGAAUUGUCAUUGAAUUCACUAAACCACAGUACCUGAGCAUGCUGGACCUGCUGGAGUCCAUCGACUGCAUGGUGCGCAACGCGCCCUACCGGCGCUUCCGGCCCCGCGAGCCCCCGCACGGACACGCCGCGCUCUGGUGGAAAUAUGCAGGUGACAGUGUCCUCGAAGUUCACAUCAGAAGACACACUCGAAUGUGGUCGUGGAGUAACAUCAAACAGCACAGGCAGCUUCUGAAGAGUUACAAAAACACCUACAAGCACAAGCUGACACAGAGUAAACUGUCAGAAGAAACUCAGAGGCAAAUUCAGGACCUAGAAAGACAGCUUGACGUCUUCAAUAUAAUCUUAGCAAGGCAACAAGCACAAGUGGAGACAAUAAGAUCGGGACAAAAAUUACUGAAGAAGAAAAGCACUGAAGUAGAAAAGAAAAGUGGAGGAUGGUUUGGUGGUUUCUGGGGUAAAAGAGAAUCUAGGAAGAAAGAAGAUGAGGAAUCCCCUGUUCCUGAAACUAUUGAUGAACUAAUGACACCAGAGGAGAAAGCCAAGCUUUUCACUGCCAUUGGAUACAGUGACAGCUCCCACAACCUUUCCUUACCAAAGCAGUAUGUUGCUCAUGUUGUGACACUGAAGCUGUUAAGCACUUCUCUUACAAUUAAAGAAGACAAGAAUGUGGCAGAAACUCUAAAAGUGCAGAUAAUUGAUCUGAGUACCAAAAUAUCCCAGCGCCCAGGAGCACAAGCCAUCAAGGUUGAAGCCAAGCUUGAAAACUGGUAUGUCACAGGGCUGAGACAGGAGCACAUUGUUCCAUCUCUUGUGGCCUCCAUUGGGGACAGCAAAUCUUCCCUGCUGAAGAUCGAGUUUAACACUAACCCAGAGGACAGCACAGCUGACCAGAGCCUAUCCAUCGAGUCCCAGCCUGUGGAAAUCAAAUACGAUGCAAGAACAAUAAAUGCAAUGGUAGAAUUCUUCCAGACAAGUAAGGGAAUGGACCUUGAAAGGUUAACAACAGCCACCUUAAUGAAGCUGGAAGAAAUCAAGGAGAGAACUGCUACAGGGUUAGUUCAUAUCAUUGAAAUGCGGAAAGUCCUGGACUUGAAGAUUAACCUGAAACCUUCCUACCUCGUGGUUCCCCAGACGGGUUUCUACCAGGAAAAUUCAGCUUUGCUCAUUUUGGACUUCGGUACAUUUCAGCUGAACAGCAUAAAUCAAGGCAGCAGUCAAACUUCCACCUUUUCAUCUCUGGAGGAGAUUAUGGACAAAGCUUAUGACAAGUUUGAUGUGGAAAUAAAAAACGUGCAGCUUCUUUUUGGAAGAACAGGUGAAGACUGGAAGAAGGCUCGUUUUCAACGUCCAUCAACGUUGCACAUUUUGCAGCCCAUGGAUAUUCACGUGCAGUUGGCAAAGUCAAUGGUGGAAAGAGACACCAGGAUGCCCAAGUUUAAAGUGUCAGGAGGCCUUCCUUUGGUCCAUGUCAGACUGUCAGACCAGAAGAUCAAGGCAAUUUUUGAUCUGAUUGACAGCAUUCCCUUGCCUCAGAAGUCAUCUGUGUCAGCUCCAAGCACAAAGGUACCAGCUAUUCCCACAAUUCCUGUUGUCAGUAAAGGGUUACUUGGGACACCCCAGUUGUUGGCAGAGAUGGUGUCAGAUUCUGAAGAAGAGUAUUUUGAUUUUGAGGAAAGCUCUGAGCCAACUGACAGGUCACUAAUUAAAGGAGAAGAAACGAGAAGUGAGGAGCCUGCUCAAGAGGAGCUGACAGACCUUCAGCUGAAGUUUGAAAUUAAAGAGGUUUUAGUAGAACUCACCAAGCAAAAGCAAACUGAGGAAACAGUGCUUGUGUUUGAUGUAAUGCAUCUGGGGACAGAGGCUACUGUCAGAACCUAUAACUUAGCAGCUGUAUCUUACUUAAAGAAAAUAAGCCUGGAUUACUAUGAAAUUGGAGGUAAAAAAACACCCAUUCACCUCAUUAGUUCCUCAGAUAAACCUGGCUUAGACCUUCUGAAGGUGGAAUAUAUCAAGGCUGACAGAAAUGGGCCGCAGUUUCAGACAGCUUUUGACAACACUGAACAGAUGAUUCAAGUAACUUUUUCAUCACUGAACCUCCUGUUGCACACAGAGGCCCUGCUGUCUGCUCUCAGCUUUCUGACAGCUGUCAGCCCAUCUGGCAGCGAGAGCAGGGGAGACUCACCAGUGAGAGAAAAGCAAGAGGAUGACACUAGACUGAAAAAAGUGGCUAGACCUUCCAAGGAUAAGGAUGUGUUUGACUGCAAGGUCUUUGCCAAGCUGGAUGCCUUCUGUUUAAAUAUUUGUGAUGAGAAAAAGAACAUUGCGGAGAUCAAGAUACAAGGUCUUGACUCAUCCCUUUGCCUUCAGCCAAGUCACACUGUAUUCUUUGCCAGACUUAAAGACAUAGUUGUCACAGAUGUUGAUUCAAGGACCCUUCAUAAAAAAGCCGUGUCUAUAGUAGGAGAUGAAGUUUUCAGUUUCAAUCUGACGUUAAAUCCACAAGCUACUGAGGGAGAAGCCUACACUGACAUGUCCAAAGUGGAUGGUUCUGUAUCUCUGAGGGUGGGCUGCAUUCAGAUAGUGUUCCUUCACAAGUUCCUCAUGGCUCUUGUGACCUUCUUGAACAACUUCCAGACAGCCAAGGAGGCUCUGAGUGCUGCCACAGCCCAGGCUGCAGAAAAGGCUGCCACCAGUGUGAAGGACCUGGCUCAGAGGAGCUUUCGCCUGGCCAUGGACAUUCACCUGAAAGCACCAGUUAUCAUCAUCCCCCAGUCCUCAGUGUCCCCCAGGGCCAUAGUGAUAGACCUGGGCUUGAUCAGGGUGCAGAACCAGUUCAGCUUGGUGUCUGCAGAGGGCAGCUCCCUGCCUCCAGUCAUUGACAAAAUGGAUGUGCAGCUGACAAAGCUGAAGAUGUCCAGGACCACUGUGGAGGCAGAUUCGUCACAUGCAGAUAUUCAGAUUCUUCACCCUAUCAAUUUAAGCCUGUCAGUGAAGAGAAAUCUGUCUGCAGCUUGGUUUCACAAACUGCCUGUGCUGCAGGUCACGGGCUACCUGGACACAAUGAACGUCGUGUUAAGUCAAGAGGAUUUGAAUGUCUUUCUCAGAGUGUUGACAGAAAACCUUGGUGAAGCAGAAGAAGAACAAACUGAUGCCAAAUCAGUCCUGCAAAAGGAAGGUAAAUCCAAAGAAAUGGAGAGAUCAGUUUUGGUACAGGCUAAGAGUGGUCCAGAAGGAAUGCUGUCUGAAAAGAGGAAAGAGCCAUUGAAUGAAGAUGUAAUCAAUGUGCUGCUUAAUUUUGAAAUCAAAGAGGUUGUAGUGACCUUGAUGAAGCAGGUUCAGAAGGACAGAUACCCGUUACAUAUCCUGACUGUGCUACAGCUUGGAACUGAAACCAAAGUCAGAAACCAUGAAUUGACUGCAGCAGCAUAUCUGAAAAAAAUUGCCAUGAGAUGCACUGAGAUAAAGGACUCAAAAGGAGAUCCUCUUUGCAUUAUUAAUUCUUCAAGUGAGACAGAUGAGCACCUUCUGAAAAUGGAAUACAUUAAGGCUGAUCCUGAUGGGCCAGACUUUGUUACAACUUACAAAAGCACCAAACAGAACAUCAAUGUCAUCUUUUCAUCUUUGGAUAUAGUCCUUCACACAGAGGCUUUGCUUUCCAUCUUGAGUUUUCUCACCUUCAGUGUUCCAUCAGGUGGUCUUCCCAGUGCUGAUAAAUCAUCAGACCACAAGCCUCAAACAAAAGAAGAGGACAAAGGAAGUGCUCUUAGACCAGUGCCUGGUGAUGCAGCCCACGAUGAUAUCUGUGAAUUAAAACUCACUGCAAAGCUCAAUGCAUUCAGCAUCACGGUGUGUGAUCAGACCUGUAGGAUUGCAGACAUCAGAAUACAAGGAAUGGAUGCAUCUGUAGCUAUGAAGCCUAAAAAGAUUAAAGUGUUCUCCAGGCUUGAGGACAUUGUAAUUACAAAUGUUGAUCCCAAAACAGUCCAUAAAAAGGCUGUGUCCAUAAUGGGAGAUGAAGUGUUCAGAUUUCACGUGUCCCUUUACCCCGACGCCACUGCAGGGGAAGCCUACACUGACAUGUCGAGGGUGGAUGGCAAGAUGUCUCUCAAAGUGGGCUGCAUCCAAAUAAUUUACCUCCACAAGUUCUUUAUGUCUCUCUUGAACUUCCUGAACAACUUCCAGACAGCCCAGGAAGCCCUGACUGCAGUCACUGCCCAGGCAGCAGAAAUGGCAGCUUCCAGCAUGAAGGACUUUGCCAGGAAGAGCUUCCGCCUCUCCAUGGAUGUCAACCUGAAAGCUCCAGUUAUCGUAAUUCCUGAAUCUCCAGCUUCAUACAACGCUUUGGUGGCUGACCUUGGCUUAAUCAGAGUGCAGAAUGAAUUCAAGCUGGUGCCUUCAGAUGAAUCUCCUCUUCCUCCAGUCAUUGACAGCAUGGAUGUGCAGCUGACUCAUUUGAAGUUAUCAAGGUGCAUCAUAUCCACAGAUUCUCAACCAGACUCUGAAAUUCUGUGUCCUGUGAGUUUGACUUUACUGGUGCAGAGAAAUUUAGCAGCAGCGUGGUAUCAUAAAUGCCCAACAAUUGGUAUCAAAGGAGACCUGAAACCAAUGCAGAUUGCACUCAGUGAAGAUGAUCUGACUGUUAUCAUGAAAAUUUUACUUGAAAACCUCGGGGGGGCUUCUUCCCAACCAACUGCUGUGCAGGAGAACGUGGAGUUUACACAGAUCCCUAAAAAAGGGAAAGUUCCCCAUGAAUCUGGUCCUCUUCUUGCUUCUGAACAAAAGAGUGUUUCUACAGCUCAGUCUUGUGUGGAAUGUUACACAACACUUAAAUUUGACUUCAAUUUUGAGUCACUUUCUGUCAUUCUCUACAACAGUGACAAGAAUCAGAGGGCUCAGCUCCCCGAGCACAGUGACAGAUUGCGCCUGGGAGAGCUGCGCCUGCUCCUCAUGGCAUCGGCUGGGGACAUGUUCUCAGAUGGCUCCAUGGAUGUCAAAGUUCAGCUCAAGGCCUGCACCUUGGAUGAUCUCAGAGAAGGAAUUCAGAAUGUGACUGCGAGAAUGAUAGACAAGAAAGAUGACACACAUGACAGUUCUAUGAUAGAUAUAAGGUAUAAGCAGGAUAAAAAUGGAACUGAAGUUGUUGCAGUCCUUGACAAGCUCUACAUAUGUGCCAGUAUGGAGUUUUUGUUGACAGUAGCAGAUUUUUUCAUUAACUCGAUGCCAGCAUCCUCAACUGAAAGAUCUGCACAGUUCCAAUUAAAGCAAGUUGCUUCUGGGAAAUCCAAGCCAGAAACAGAAACACCUGUACGGCCAAAUAUGACAGUAAAAGCUGUGAUUCUGGACCCAGAAGUUGUGUUUGUUGCUAAUUUGACCAAUGCUGAUGCUCCUGCCUUAAAAGUUUCCUUCCAGUGUAACUUUUCUCUGACAUCUGGAAGGGAUGCACAGAGGAUGACUGCUCAAGUGAAUGGCUUCAAAGUGUUGGCCUGUGCCUUUCUCAAGGAAAAACAAGACAAGAAUGUUACUACUGUGUUACGACCCUGUUCCUUGGUCAUGGAAAAUAUGGUGCAUGUCUCAGGAUUGCAGACUGUGGCAGUAACAAUGGAAGAACUGAUUAUUAAGAUCUCGCCCAUAAUUCUGAACACUGUCAUUACCAUUAUGGCUGCCAUAAAACCCAAGGCAACAGAGGAGGAUUCCAGAGGAGCAGCUGAAGUUUCUGAGAAUCUGUGGCAAGUGAAGCCUGUGGAUGAGUGCAAUGCUUGGUUUCUCGGUGUUGAUGUUGCCACAGAAGCAACAGAAACUUAUAAGGACUGGGAACAAGUUGUGAAACAGGAGAAGUUUGACAUCGUGGUGAAAUCAGUGCAGAUGACCUUGGAGUGUGGGCUGGGACAUCGCACUGUCCCUUUACUGUUGGUGGAAUCUGCUUUCUCAGGGGUCCUUAAAAACUGGUCGUCGCUGAUGGAGGUCACUGCUGACACAUCCCUGGAGAUUCAUUAUUACAAUGAAACCUAUGCAGUGUGGGAGCCACUUAUUGAACGAGUUGAAGGAGGAAAGAAGCAGUGGAAUUUGAAACUGGAGAUGAAGACUAACCCUGUCCAGGAGAGAAGUCUGAUGCCUGGGGAUGAUUUCAUCGUUCUUCCUGAGCCCCAGACUGCCAUUAGCAUCUCCUCCAAGGACACAAUGAAUAUCACAAUAUCCAAGUGUUGUCUGGCUGUUUGCAGUAACCUGGCCAAGGCAUUUUCCGAAGCGACUGCCUCCACAUUUGACUAUUCCUUCAAAGAGACAGCACCUUUUGUAGUGAAAAACGCCCUGGGGGUGCCUCUCAAAGUGCUCCCCAGCUCCAGUUUUCGGGUAGUUGGUUCCACUGGCAAAGAGAACACGAAGGACAUCGAGGUUGGUCAGAGCCUGGAGCUGGAGUAUUCUGCGUGUGAGGUGCCCCAGCGGGGCAGAUUGUCUGCCCUGCACCGACAGGAGAGCACCAUCUUCUCCUUGAACUUAGAACUGCAGGGGUACAAGGACGCCCUGAGCAUUCCCGUGGCCAAGCCGGGCCGGCGGCUGUACAACACCAGGAGCCCUGCCGGCCACUCCCACUCCAUCAUCGUGCAGAUUGACGCCACAGAAGGGAACAAGGUCAUCACUGUGCGCUCCCCUCUGCAGAUCAAGAACCAUUUCUCCAUCCCAUUUAUGAUCUAUAAACUGGCUAAAGGCUCCAGGGUGCUGGAGGCAAUUGGCAUCUCCAGGCCAGAGGAAGAAUUCCAUGUUCCUUUGCACUCCUACACGUGUCACCUGUAUGUCCGGCCCACGGGGGUGUUCGAGGGGCAGUUCAGAGAGUCCACCACCUACAUUGCCUGGAGGGAGGAGCUGCACAGGAGCACUGAAGUGAAGUGCUUGUUGCAGUGCCCAGCCAUGGAGACAAAUUUCCUGCCUCUGAUCAUCAGCUCAACAGCUGUACCUGAUGAACUCAGUUUUAUUUCACCCUAUGAAGAGGAGUGGGAUCCUGCCUACAUUAUCCACCUUUACCCCACACUCACUGUGAGGAAUCUUCUGCCGUACUCCUUGAGAUAUUUACUGGAGGGCACAGCAGAAGCCCGGGAAUUAACCGAAGGGAGCGCCGCAGACGUUUUCCAUUCCAGAAUCAACGGAGAAAUAAUGGAACUUGUGCUGUUAAAAUACCAAGGCAAAGACUGGAAUGGGCAUCUUAAAAUUCACGAGGGGAUGCCGGAGUUUUUCCCCGUGUGCUUCACCUCGCACUCUGCAGCGUCCAUGACCGUGGAUGUUUACAUCCACACCAGGAGGCUCGGCAGCCGCAUGGUCCUGGCCGUCUUCAGUCCCUACUGGAUCAUCAACAAGACCUCCCGUGUUCUGCAGUACCGAGCUGAGGACACUCAUGUGAAGCAUCCAGCAGACUACAGAGACAUUGUUCUGUUCUCGUUUAAAAAGAAAAACAUCUUUAGUAAAAAUAAGAUCCAGCUCUGUAUUUCAACCAGCACUUGGUCCAGCAGCUUUUCCCUCGAUACUGUAGGAAGCUAUGGAUGUGUCAGGUGUUCAGCUAAUAACAUGGACUACCUGGUUGGAGUCAGCAUCAAAAUGAGCAGUUUUAACCUGACCAGGAUAGUUACCUUCACUCCAUUCUACACAAUAGCAAACAAGUCUUCUCUGGAACUUGAAGUUGGAGAAAUUGGUCCCAGUGGCUCUCUUCCAACUAAUAAAUGGAAUUAUAUCUCAGCUUCAGAGUGUCUUCCAUUCUGGCCUGAAAGCUCAUCUGGUGAACUUUGUGUCAGAGUAGUUGGCUACGAGAGCCCAUCCCAACCAUUCCUGUUUAAUGCCCAGGACAAUGGUACCCUGCUGAAACUGGAAGAGUUGAAUGGGGGCUUGCUGGUGGAUGUGAAUGUUUCUGAGCACUCUACUCUCAUAACCUUCUCUGAUUACCACGAGGGAGCUGCCCCAGCCCUGAUUGUGAACCACACCCCGUGGGACUCCCUCAGGUACAAGCAGAGUGGAUUACAAAAGGAAAUGGAGUUGAAACCAAGGCAAGUGUGCCUGUUUGCCUGGACAGAUCCAACUAAACCAAGAAAAUUGACUUGGGGCUACAGCCAGAAUUUUGGUGAACAUGACCUACUUAAGGAUGACUGUGGCCAGUUCCCCUACAAUGCCAACACUCAGAUCCACUGGGUGUCCUUCCUGGACGGGCGUCAGCGGGUGCUGCUCUUCACUGAUGACGUGGCUCUGGUCUCUAAAGCCCGCCAGGCAGAGGAGCUGGAGCAACCUGACCAAGAAAUAAACCUGUCCAUCCACAGCCUGGGGCUUUCUCUGGUUAACAAUGAAAAUAAAAAAGAAAUCUCUUACAUAGGAAUUACCAGUUCUGGUGUUGUUUGGGAAAGGAAACCAAAGCACAAGUGGAAACCAUUUAAUCAAAAGCAAAUAAACCUGUUGGAACAAGCCUAUCAAAAGUAUCUCUCUAAGACAGCUUUCCAAGGUCCUGGGUGGCAUAAACUGGACAGCAACACUGAGGUGAAUUUCAGUAAGUUUCCCAUGGAAAUGCGUCUGCCAGUCCGGUGCAGCAUCCGCCGGAACUUCCUGUCGGGAAUUCAGGUGGAAUUCAAGCAGUCCCCUCACCAGAGGAGCUUACGGGCUCAGCUGUACUGGCUGCAGGUGGAUAAUCAGUUGCCAGGAUCGAUGUUUCCUGUUGUGUUUCAUCCUGUACCCCCUCCCAAGUCCAUUGCUUUGGAUUCAGAACCAAAACCCUUCAUUGAUAUCAGUGUCAUCACCAGAUUCAACGAGUACAGCAAAGUGCUGCAAUUCAAGUACUUCAUGGUUCUUAUCCAGGAAAUGGCACUGAAAAUUGAUCAGGGAUUUUUAGGAGCACUUGGUGAACUUUUCACUCCAUCUACAGACCCAGAAGCUGAAAGACAAAGGUCUAAACUAAUUCAGCCAGAUGUGGAUGCACUGAACACUGAGCUGAUGGAGUCCUCCCUGACAGACCUGUCCAUGCUCAGCUUCUUUGAACAUUUCCAUAUUUCUCCAAUUAAGUUGCAUUUGAGUUUGUCUCUGGCUUCUGGUGGGGAAGCAUCAGACAAGGGGGAGGACAUGAUAGCCAUCCAUUCUCUGAACCUGCUGCUGAAAAGCAUUGGAGCCACUCUGACAGAUGUGGAUGACGUUGUUUUCAAACUCGCUUUCUUUGAAAUCAAAUAUCAGUUCUACAAGAGAGAUCAACUGAUGAAGAGAGUUGUUAGACAUUACAGUGAACAGUUCCUGAAACAGAUGUAUGUCCUUGUGCUUGGAUUAGAUGUUCUUGGAAAUCCAUUUGGCCUAAUCAGAGGCUUGUCUGAGGGAGUGGAAGCUUUCUUUUAUGAGCCAUUCCAGGGUGCUGUUCAAGGACCUGAAGAAUUUGCUGAAGGCUUUGUAAUUGGUGUUAGGAGUCUCCUUGGCCACACAGUGGGUGGUGCAGCAGGGGUGGUGUCCAGGAUCACUGGCACUGUUGGCAAAGGCCUGGCUGCCAUCACUCUGGAUGAAGAAUUCCAGCAGAAAAGGAGAGAGGAAAUGGGUCGGCAGCCGAAGGACUUUGGGGAGAGCCUGGCCAAGGGAGGGAAAGGCUUGUUACGGGGGGUUGUUGGAGGUGUCACAGGCAUCAUCACCAAACCAGUGGAAGGGGCUAAAAAAGAAGGAGCAGCUGGAUUCUUCAAGGGCAUUGGGAAGGGGCUGGUGGGAGUGGUGGCCCGGCCCACGGGAGGCAUCGUGGACAUGGCCAGCAGCACCUUCCAGGGCAUCCAAAGGGUGGCAGAGUCGACUGAAGAGGUGUCCAAUCUGCGUCCCCCACGGCUCAUCCGGGAGGAUGGCAUCAUCCGGCCCUACAACAGGGUGGAGGCUGAGGGCUAUGACCUGUUUGAGCAAGAACUGGACUAAUGGAGUAAACAUUUUCCAUAUUUCUCUUCUAUUUCUGUCACGGUCUUUUAUCUGCCUUAAAUACUUAGAUGAAGGGCAUGAUUGCAUUGAACAUGUCCUCUCCAUUCAUAUCUCUUCUGUGUAGCAGUUGAAUAAAACAGUGUUCCAUGUUGUCUGGGCUAAGAAAACCAACUUGAAUUACCAUCUGCAGUAAGAUUAGAUGAGUGAAUAAGAUGGGAGAGGCAGGCAGGGGUUGUCUCCUGUUUAUUUGGGUUUUUUUGCUCCUUAUGAGUGGCAACAACAGAAGGCACUUGGAAAAACGACUGUGGUGGGUUAGAUCCUGAGUUCAUUUAUUUAUUUUUUUAUUAGCAUCCUGGAAGAGCCAGGGCUGUGGAAUGAGGCAGAAAGCACCGUUUUGUGCAAAAUGUAAAAUAGUGCCAUCGAAUGGAAUUCACUUCUGGGAAAGUGCUUACAAUUCCAUGAGCUGUGUGCAUAUAAAUGCUGACACAACUUGUAGCUGUGGUGUCUGUGCUGUGCCAGGGGCCUGUCAGCUUUACAGCCCAUCACCCACCAUGCCUUCAGUUACCACUGCUGCUUUAUGAACAUUCCCAAUCAAACAUCCAGCAGCUGAGUGGACUCUGCGUUUCAUUCACAGCAUCUUUGGGGGCUUUGCUGUUCACCAGAAUUAAAGAGGUGUAAACUUUCAGCUGUUAACAGGAACUUACACGCACACAUACCCAGAUAUAUUUUAACAAAUAAAUAUAUAUAUAUAAAAAUAUAGAUAUCUGUUUCUAAAUGAAGCGGUGCCAUAAAUUUCAUUACUAACAAGCAUCUUAGGAAUGAGCAAGCUAAGCUUAACAAGCUGUGGUCAGAGCAAAUUUUUUGCCUGUCAGAGGGGAAAAAAGGUUGAACAGAAACGUCUCUGCCACCAAUGCCUUUUUAGUAUUUAGUGGUCAAUUCAAAAUGGUUUAAAAAAACAUUCAGUGAUUUUUUUGUUGUUGUUGUUAACUGAUUAAGUGUAAUUAAGUUGUGAUAUACUGAGCAGGUCACAUUGUGUCUGCUUGAGGUUUUUUAAUUUUUUUCACUAUAUUUUUUACAUCUAGAAAAAGGGAAAAGGUGGCACAAUUAACACUGAAAACUGGGUAUUAUAAACUGGAUAUUUUGCAUUUCCUGCACAUCUGGUAUUUAUGUUUUUCUUAGAUCUAAAUGGUGCAGAUUGGAAUUGUGUACUAACCAGGAUACUAACUCUGUGUAGUUCACUAUAUAUAGUUUGUUUCUCUCAAGAAGUCACUUAGUUGAAUACAGGGGUUUUGUUAAUUAAGUAUUUUGAUUAUUUCAAUUAUUUAAUUAUUUUAAUUGGUUGUUAUGCUAGAGGUGAAUGCUUGGAAGGUUUGUUUUCUAAUGUAAAUUAGAAGCAAGAGGGGACAGUGUCUUUACCGGAAAUAGGAUAUUUAACAGAAAGAUGGGUCAGAUAGUUUUAUGUGCAUUUAUGAAUUUAAUCACAAUAGGUGCAAGUGCUGUUUAUUUUUGGAUGCAGUUUUGAUGCUAUAUUACAAGUAGCUUAACCAGAACCCCCACCCUCUCAUCUAUUUUAACUACAUCUAAUGCCUGUGUCCCUUUAAAAUAAACACGUGCUUCCAAAGCUGGAACCUUGCAAGGUUACCUGAAGGAAUGGAUGCCUCAAUCCAGUGACUGGAUGAAAAAAUGCUUAAUUUGAAUAGCUGUGUGUGAAAUACAGACACUGGUAGGCACUGGAGCUUGUCCUGGGAGGAGCUGCUUCAAAGACAAGUUGCUUUUUUCCACUGGUAAGCGGCUUUGAGGUGCAGACUGAGGACAGGAGCCAGGUGGAGUAGAUGGGUUCAGGUUUGUAAAGUUGUUUCUGCAGUUCCUUUUCCCAGGAGUGCUGGGUCUGGUGGAUCUGGGCUGGGUAGGGAUGUGCUCAGUCCAUGCAGAGCUGGUCCCAUUGACACCCUGCAGGCCGUGCUGUGGCAGAUCCCAUUGACACCCUGCAGGCCGUGCUGUGGCAGAUCCCAUUGACACCCUGCAGGCCGUGCUGUGGCAGAUCCCAUUGACACCCUGCAGGCCAUGCUGUGACCGGUCCCAUUGACACCCUGCAGGCCGUGCUGUGACCGGUCCCAUUGACACCCUGCAGGCCGUGCUGUGGCCAGUCCCAUUGACACCCUGCAGGCUGUGCUGUGGCCGGUCCCAUUGACACCCUGCAGGCCGUGCUGUGACCGAGGUGGCUCCCCCGCUCUGCAGAGCUGACCCCCUGCACUCCCACACCGUGCAGUGCCCGAGCAGGACGUGCUUCCAUUUCCCAGUUAAGGAUGGAGCUUUAUAAAGAAUGCACAGCACCUCCUGAAUAAUUGAGGCAGGGUGGUGAGGCUGUUGUGUGGCAGAGAGAGAGCACAGGCUGUGCAGGGAACUGCAGAUUCUAUUUCUGGUUGCCUCCCUGUUCUGCUGGGGAAAUCUGCACUGGUUCUUUCGCUUCCCUGUAAAAUAAGAAUGAGUGAACUUCUUCAAAGUGCUCACAGAGAGAACAGCUUUGGAGAAAGAUGUCUGAAUUUUCAGUGUGCCGAUCAUGGAGUGAUUUCCAUCCCGUGCAGCCCCCUUGUUCCGCAGUGGCACCACCACUGUGCUGGCACCUCUCAGGUGGAUUGGGAAUAGCUCUGGGAAAUCCUGCGUCUUGCAGGCACAGCCCUCAGAGGGAACUCUGCCUUUAGGAACAUACUGCAUGGAGAAUCUAAAAAUACUGCCAGGAUUGCUUCUGAAGUGAUGAGAAAGCAGCCUUGCUCUCCAAAGCUCUGAGCCUGAAUAGAGAAACAUGCUUAUGAAUAAAUCUGUUUAAAUAUGUGGCAUGUCUAAUUUCUUCGUGUUCAACAAAAGGCUUUAGAGUAAGGAUAGCAGCCUUUGAGUUGCAGUCUUCACAUGCUGGUGGGUUUUACUCUUUCUUAAAUCUUGCACUUGUUUUUGAAACAGCUGUGGUUCAGGUGUAAAAUGGGAGUUCAUAUUUUCAUUUUAGUAGUGUCCUGCCAUCUUUGUUCUAAUGUCUUGCAGACACUUUGAGAUAAGAAGUCUUGCUGGCAUUUUUUAUUUCCUUUCAUGUGCACUGUACAGUUUCAGAAAUUUUUAAGAUGGUCAGAAAGGGAUAUUUUUUUAUAGAAGGUAUCAACUCUAUGGUUUUAAUUGCUGAUACAUGCUAAAUUAAAAUGUCUUUCAAAACUUCACAUCAUUAGAGAGCAAGUCGAGGAUAACACUAUGCUGUUGAUUUCAGUCUUGAAUAUUCAUCCACUUUGGGGCUUAAAGGAUUUUUGGGUCAUUUGUGAUAUAUGAUGAUGCUUUAAGACAUUUGUUGAACUUGUAGAUAUAUGAAAAUAAAAUGCAGAUAUAAAUAAAUGUUGAACCUUCUUUCAAUUGCAUCUUAUGUAAGCUGAUCUUUCAAUUUUGGUUACUUAAACUACACAGAGUUCUUAGCCUGUAUGGUUGACCCCAGAUAAAUGUGGAGUCAAGUGGAACUUCUGUUCACAUCUUACCAGUUUAAUGGGUCCAACUGUGGAAAUACAGAAGGAGAUUUAUGUUUACACGAAAUAACUAAAACCAUACUCAGUUUUUAGUCCUUCCUCUUGAGCUUGUUCUUCCUAGUUUGUCAGAAACAACUUGAGGCUAUUACUGUUAUACAGAGGCUGAAUUGCACAGUAACAACUGUAAAUUAACUGGCAGUCAUCCCACCUUGCUCUGCAGAGCAUCAGACCCCUUUUGGGACAUCCAGGUGCAGGCUCUUGCCAAGCACUGAUGUGAAGUGCAAGCCUUCUGCACCCAGGCUUUGUUCCUUGUGUGCCCUCAUGUCCUGCCCAGGAGCUGCACAUUCCUUGGGUGAUGAGAAAGGUGGUUGUGCUGACCUGGAGGGUACAGAGCUAACGUGCACUGAUAUUAUGGCUGUGUAACUUCCUUGCUAAUUUUUACUGAUUAAACAUUAUUUGCAAGUGGAA
Myiozetetes cayanensis is the source of this 14900-nucleotide RNA transcript. It is a transcript of the gene named vacuolar protein sorting 13 homolog C, with no coding region annotated. The record is from RefSeq and is a predicted model, not a curated record. NCBI's taxonomy places the organism in Eukaryota, Metazoa, Chordata, Aves, Passeriformes, Tyrannidae. The transcript has 83 exons.